This 1406-nucleotide ribosomal RNA is filed under the name Triticum aestivum (bread wheat). RNAcentral's name for it is "partial small subunit ribosomal RNA". Lineage: Eukaryota; Viridiplantae; Streptophyta; Magnoliopsida; Poales; Poaceae. The record is from RNAcentral.
GUGUGUGUCUCCUGUCUCGCGGGUGAGGCCGGAAAUAUACGUGCGCGGCGCGCGCGGUAGAAGCAGAACAGGAUCGUGUCUUCAGCGUCUGGUGAGGGAGGGAGAUAACUGAAGUAGCCUCGUCGUCUCUUCUCGUCUCGUCUUGUUGUCUCGCGUUCUUUCCCAUUCGGUACCCCAAGUCCUUCCCGGAGGACCGCACGAAGCCCGGCCCGCCUCCUCUGCUCCUCUGCCUCGUCCUCCGCGCCCGCUGCGGCCCCCGCGCCGCCGCCGCGUGCCACUACUUGGACGUGCGGAAGUGGGACCUGCUCGAGUUCAGGCAGUGGUUCUUAAAGAGGUGGCGGUUGAAGGAGCCGCUCCCGCCGAAGCCGGGGCAGAUGUUCCCCACGCAGCGGCCGCCGGAGGCGGGUCCGGAGCGGCGCGUCGUCCAGCGGCAGUUCAUGGAGCUGGAGCUGUCGCUGCCGCACGUCCCCGUGGCGCUCACCGACCGCCUCCACCACAUAGACCCCUACGACUCGGUGGGCGUGGACCACUUCGACGACCCCAAGACGUUGGUCCUGCUGGUGGCGUACGAGCAGAUGCUCAUGUACGGGGCCCCGUCGGAGCUCUUGGUGGAGAAGUUGUUAGGCGACCGCGGCGACGGUACCAGCUGCGCCGAAUUCUAGCGGCACCCGCGCCGGUUCCCCGACCGCAAGGACGUACUCCGCCUNNNNNNNNNNNNNNNNNNNNNNNNNNNNNNNNNNNNNNNNNNNNNNNNNNNNCUAAUGCGUCGCUUCGACAGCCUGAAGCCCGACCGGUUCCUCCCCGGCUUCCCCCUGCUGUGCGUGCACUGCUGCGCCCACUACCCGUGCGUGCCGAUGCGCCGCGGCCUCAUGUAGGAGUGCCCGGUGGAGUGCCGGUUCUCGCUGCACAUGUCGAAGCCCCACCACGAGGACCUCGACGAGUGCCCGGCCGCGAGGCAGCUGUUCGCCGCCGCGCCCGCCCUCGUCUUGGAGCAGCUGACCCGCGCGGGGAUGGACGCGGCGCGGCUGCUGGCCGACGUGGCGCAGUACCUGGGGCCGUACCUCAGCGUCAUGAGGUGCGCCCGCCGCGCGCCGCGGCGCCGGCACCGCGUGAGGACGGACGUCUCGCACGGGUUCCGCGCCGGGGCCUACGCGCUGCAGCACCUGCGGGAGCUCGGCGACGAGCGCGAGCUGCUGCUGCACGGGUACCCCGGGAAGCACAAGUGCCAGACGCUCGGCCUCCGCCGCCGCCCGUUCCCCCUGCCGCGGCCCCUGCUGCUCGGCCGCCGGCGCGUCCCGUUCACCGUGCAGUUCAGCCGGCACGUGCGCCUGUCGGGCGACGCGUUCCCACUGACGACCCAGUGGUCGCGGCGGUUUGCCGGCCUCUCGGGGGGCCCACACUAGACU